This 440-nucleotide ribosomal RNA is filed under the name uncultured bacterium. RNAcentral's name for it is "partial 16S ribosomal RNA". It matches the Rfam family "Bacterial small subunit ribosomal RNA", at positions 338 to 795 of the family's 1533-position model. The record is from RNAcentral.
CCUACGGGAGGCAGCAGUAGGGAAUAUUGCUCAAUGGAGGAAACUCUGAAGCAGCAACGCCGCGUGGAGGAUGAAGGUUUUCUGAUUGUAAACUCCUUUUGUUAGAGGAGAUAAUCACGGUAUCUGACGACUACGCACCGUCUAACUCCGUUCCAGCAGCCGCGGUAAUACGGAGGGUGCAAGCGUUACUCGGAGUCACUGGGCGUAAAGAGCGCGUAGGCGGGUUAGCAAGUCAGAUGUGAAAUCCUAUGGCUUAACCAUAGAACUGCAUUUGAAACUGUUGUUCUAGAGUAUGGGAGCGGUAGGCGGAAUUUUUGGUGUAGGGGUAAAAUCCGUAGAGAUCAAGAGGAAUACUCAUUGCGAAGGCGACCUGCUAGAACAUAACUGACGCUGAUGCGCGAAAGCGUGGGGAGCAAACAGGAUUAGAUACCCUAGUAGUC